Salarias fasciatus (jewelled blenny) is the source of this 1641-nucleotide long non-coding RNA. RefSeq lists it as uncharacterized. The record is from RefSeq and is a predicted model, not a curated record. The transcript is spliced from 4 exons. Lineage: Eukaryota; Metazoa; Chordata; Actinopteri; Blenniiformes; Blenniidae.
AUUUAUUGCUGUUAUUGCAGUAAUUUUAGGCGACGUUUUACUAAAAAUAAUUUGUAUCUGCCUCCAUCUAGCGGCCACACUGCGUACUGCGCUGACGACCUGGCUACGUCACACAAUAACACGGAAGUAGCUCACAAACAAAUCCAAUUGGAAUAUAGUCGACUGUUUCUUUUAUUUGUCGUCUCAUGUUCCAUCUUUGUGUUUCACGAACAGACUAAAUGGGGACCUACUCUCUCCUGAAGUCCACCGGGGAAAACUCCUUCGGCCGCGCCGUGUUGGUCCGAUGCAGUCCAGCUUUUAAAGAAUCAUCCCAAAUUGGAGAAUUCAAGGAGGGAAGCCAUCCUGCUGUCCACAAUGAAACAUCUUCACACUGUGGCCUUCGGGGAGACAUUUGCAGUUCCAGGCACCGAGCUGGAGGAGCCUGAUUCUGAAAGUGUGUCGGGGCGCGUCCCCUAAACUCCCCUCCCCGGCCGCCUGCCCUGUGAACUUCCAUCAUUCAAACAGAUGUUUCAGACCACCCCUGACCUCUCACCGGGUUUCCCCGACUCCUGCAGGCAGAUCUGCCCUGCAGAUAAAAACAGCGAUCUUACGGCUGCCCACUCGUCAGAACGACCUGCUGUGGUGACACAACAAUAAAGCAGAGGGGCAAGAGAUGAUGGAAGAGGGAGAGAAGAGCUCAAUAAAACAGCGACCUUUGUAUGGAGAGAGCAAUUUUAUCAAGAAAAGUUGUGAAACGUAAUUCUGGGAGCAACAAAAUGUGGAAAUGUGUCUUCAUCAUGCAGAAUUUGAAAGCUGCACUCAAAGUGGCCUCAGUUCCAAGAACAAGCCUCUCCUGAUAUCAACACUGGACGACUAAAGAAAUAUCUGGAAGAUCACACUACAUUUGUUUGGAACAAACAUUUGUAGGAUGAACAGAAGAGAUCAUCGCCUGGACAAACAGAGACAAGUAAUCAUAUCUGUGGGCAAUUUAGAGCCACCAGUUAAUGCAUUUUUUGAUAUAUCUGUCUGCUAUUCUAUAUGAAUCUUGUCACUGCAACAAGUUCAGCUAAAGUUCAGAAAAAGAAUGAUGACAUGCUGUCCUGUGGGACUGACAAACUGAUAAAUAAAAGUCUUGCUACAGAGCUUGAGUUCACUGAAUUAAAAAAAAAACAUCUAAUUUUAACAAAACAUUGAAAUGUAAUGCAGCAGGAAACACUGCACAUACUUUUCAGGUGACGGUCACAACUGAAAGUUUUUUUUUUUUUCUUCUUCUAACUGGAGCUUUUACUUCUUGCCUGUGACACUUUGCGGUGUUUUGGGGCCUGAAAACAUCUUGGAUUCAUGAGUAGGAUAUGAGACACCCAGACUCCUGAGGUGAUCAGGAUGAGUCUGUAGAAACAUGGCGAAGCAGUUUUCAGUUCCAGUUUGACAUCUUUGGAUUCAGACUUACCGAAUUGGUCAGGCGCUCACACAAAGGCUCCUUCAUCAAAAUGCAUCAUGUUUGUUUUUUUUCCUUUCAGAAUGCAACAGCAUGAACUCUGAAAACGACGCAGUCAUGUAGAGGAACUCCUGAGUGUCCUUUGUUUUUGUAAUAAACUCACACACAUACAGAGAAUAAGCUGUAAACAGCGAGUAGGAAUCCUUAAACGCGACUCACUACUG